UAGCUCUGGUGUCUCUUAAGUCACGUAUAAAUCUUUCGCCCUUUAUUAAAGCUCAUUGUAGAGAGAAACAUCAAUGAGCUUGAUGUAUUUUUAUGAGGUUUGCUCUAACCAAGCUU
This is a small nuclear RNA of Hemibagrus wyckioides, 116 nucleotides long. RefSeq annotates it as U5 spliceosomal RNA. The record is from RefSeq and is a predicted model, not a curated record. Lineage: Eukaryota; Metazoa; Chordata; Actinopteri; Siluriformes; Bagridae. The transcript has a single exon.